GAUGAACGCUAGCUACAGGCUUAACACAUGCAAGUCGAGGGACAGGCGCACGGGUGAGUAAAACGUAUCCAACCUGCCCUUUACUCGGGGAUAGCCUUUCGAAAGAAAGAUUAAUACCCGAUAUAAAGGAUGGGGAUGCGUUCCAUUAGGUUGUUGGUGAGGUAACGGCUCACCAAGCCUUCGAUGGAGAGGGGUUCUGAGAGGAAGGCCCCCCACAUUGGAGCUUGUACACGGUCCCAACUCCUACGCGAGUCAGCAGUGAGGAAUAUUGGUCAAUGUGCGCUAGCCUGACCCAGCCAAUUAGCGUGAAGGAUGAAGGCUUAUUGGUCGUAAACUUCUGUUAUAUAAGAAUAUGUAUUAUAUGAAUAAGGAUCGGCUAACUCCGUGCCAGCAGCCGCGGUAAUAC
RNAcentral lists this ribosomal RNA (406 nucleotides) under uncultured bacterium. Its description in RNAcentral is "partial 16S ribosomal RNA". It matches the Rfam family "Bacterial small subunit ribosomal RNA", at positions 28 to 526 of the family's 1533-position model. The record is from RNAcentral.